AUGGCCACCUGCCUCUCUGAUAUGAUUAGUGACCAUUCUGUGGAUUUCCUGGGUCUUCAAGAGACCAUGAAAAAAAACUUUUCUCCUGGCUGUUUGAGGAGAAUUGAUCCUUUUAGUAUCUUUAGUUGGAACUGGAUUCCCUCUGUUGGGAAAUUUGGGGGUAUCCUGUGUGGUGUUAGAAGUGAUAGUUUGGACAUCGUCUCCUGUGAUAAGGGCAAAUACAUUUUGCAGCUAGUUCUGUAUGAUAAGAAAAAGAAAACUAGUUGGGGUUUGCUAAUAGUCUAUGGAUCUGCUCAUGAGGAAAUUAAGGAGGAAUUCCUCAUUGAGCUCGCCACUAUGUGUGACUGUAUGCAUGUCCCAUACAUUGUGGGUGGGGACUUCAAUAUCCUUAGGCAUCCUGGGGAGAAAAACAAGAAGAUGGCUAGUCACAAAUCCUCUGAUAUCUUCAACUCCAUUAUUAAUACCCUGGCACUUAGAGAAAUCCAUAUUAGUGGUGGCAAGUAUACUUGGACUAAUAAUCAAACCCACCCCACUCUGGAGAAGCUGGAUCGCAUCCUGAUGUCUGAGUCCUAGGAGGAUUUGUUCCCUUUAGUUUCUGUCAGAAAGUUGGUCCGUGAGAUUUCAGACCAUAAUCCCUUGUUGCUGUCCACG
RNAcentral lists this ribosomal RNA (651 nucleotides) under Triticum aestivum (bread wheat). RNAcentral's name for it is "partial small subunit ribosomal RNA". The record is from RNAcentral. Lineage: Eukaryota; Viridiplantae; Streptophyta; Magnoliopsida; Poales; Poaceae.